GAAGAAUUCUCCAGGGUGUUGGCCAGUCCAUUCACUGAAAAGUCUUGUGUUAUCCUGUGAAAAAAGACGAAAUUUAAAAACAAGCCGAGGGAAGCAGAAGUCGAAAAAAACAGAGCGUAUCCAAGGAGAAGUGGUGUUAACCGUCAAAGCACUGUAGUACAGGUCAAUAGAAAAAAAACUAAAUCAACAACACCAGCAGUGCCAAAGAGAAACAGACAAACAGGAAGGCGAAUCAUGAGAUGGAAGAGCUCAAGAUGGAUCACCAUACUCACCGAUGAUGAGAGGAAAAGACACAUAUGGUUGAUAAUCAUCUUCGAACUUCUGGGACAUUUACUACUGUACAUUAUCUAUGUUUUUAUAAUGACCAGAUGUAUCAAAGAACUUUUUAUUAUGAUGGACAGAGUUUGGAAAGCUAUUUUGUUAGCACACUUGGGUCAAUUUCUGUGUGUUCUUACAGUAAACACAUACUUGGAACACUUUUGUUUUGUGUUUUGUAAUGUUAAAAAGUCAUUUCCGUGCAGUUUAUUGGUUUCGUAUCCUUCCAGGCAUUCACUUAGUAUUACGCAAU
Molecule: long non-coding RNA, 568 nt
Organism: Mercenaria mercenaria
Lineage: Eukaryota; Metazoa; Mollusca; Bivalvia; Venerida; Veneridae
Exons: 4
Source: RefSeq, a predicted model, not a curated record